GGGCGGCGGCAGUUUGGGGCAGCUCAGGGCGGCGGCGGUUCGCGGCAGUUGGGGGCUGCCGCGGCUCGCGGCAGUUCGGGGCUGCCCACUCCCUCCC
Molecule: non-coding RNA, 97 nt
Organism: Turdus rufiventris (rufous-bellied thrush)
Lineage: Eukaryota; Metazoa; Chordata; Aves; Passeriformes; Turdidae
Source: the annotation of a GenBank genome assembly